Long non-coding RNA from Junco hyemalis (dark-eyed junco), 706 nucleotides. The record is from Ensembl. Lineage: Eukaryota; Metazoa; Chordata; Aves; Passeriformes; Passerellidae.
CUGGGCCUGGGCAGACAAGCAGGUAGACCAGGUCCAACAGGAUAAGAUCUGGAGAGUCUGUGGAGGCUGAACAGAGGGGAAGGAGAAUCUGCCCGAGGAAAGCAAAGGACAGAAAAAUCAAAGGACUUGCCCUGCAGUCCCACACCAGGGUAAGAGAAAGGAGCAGAAGCCACUGCCAAAUUGUAUGUCUGUGUUCUCAAGCAAAGUUCCCAACUCAACCAACCAAACUACUGGCAGCCAAAUGAAUACUGAGCUUGGCAGGGCUCUGGUAAAUAUGAAUUCUUCAGCAGUGCUGCACGAAAGAGGAAACUUGAGGAAAACUUCAUGUUUGUGUCAAUGAAGGACAGAUGGGUCUCCAUGUAACUUGGGAAUUCUGCUGAAAGCUGAAGAGGUGCUGGCACAGGCCUGCCCACAGCCCUCUUCUGUCACAGGGAAUAGACUGACUGACUUCAGCUCGUGACCUCUCCAAAGCUGUGUGAACCUACGUAUCUGCACAACUGCCAGCACUUAAAAAUGGAAUUUCCAAGUGUCUGGGAAAGCCUCAUGUCAGCACAAGGCCUUUAUGCUAGGUUGAUGGAGGAAAACUACUGCAAAUUUCUACUAACUGUCUCUUAACCCAGAGGAAAGUCUCAGCUGGCAUAUAAUGAUUGAUAAAUUGCAUUAAGAAGUAAUGUCCAAAUAAACUGGCACAAUAAAUAUAAAAAUG